Molecule: ribosomal RNA, 1497 nt
Filed under: Escherichia coli
Lineage: Bacteria; Pseudomonadati; Pseudomonadota; Gammaproteobacteria; Enterobacterales; Enterobacteriaceae
Description: partial 23S ribosomal RNA
Rfam family: Bacterial large subunit ribosomal RNA
Source: RNAcentral
AAUGCACAUGCUGUGAGCUCGAUGAGUAGGGCGGGACACGUGGUAUCCUGUCUGAAUAUGGGGGGACCAUCCUCCAAGGCUAAAUACUCCUGACUGACCGAUAGUGAACCAGUACCGUGAGGGAAAGGCGAAAAGAACCCCGGCGAGGGGAGUGAAAAAGAACCUGAAACCGUGUACGUACAAGCAGUGGGAGCACGCUUAGGCGUGUGACUGCGUACCUUUUGUAUAAUGGGUCAGCGACUUAUAUUCUGUAGCAAGGUUAACCGAAUAGGGGAGCCGAAGGGAAACCGAGUCUUAACUGGGCGUUAAGUUGCAGGGUAUAGACCCGAAACCCGGUGAUCUAGCCAUGGGCAGGUUGAAGGUUGGGUAACACUAACUGGAGGACCGAACCGACUAAUGUUGAAAAAUUAGCGGAUGACUUGUGGCUGGGGGUGAAAGGCCAAUCAAACCGGGAGAUAGCUGGUUCUCCCCGAAAGCUAUUUAGGUAGCGCCUCGUGAAUUCAUCUCCGGGGGUAGAGCACUGUUUCGGCAAGGGGGUCAUCCCGACUUACCAACCCGAUGCAAACUGCGAAUACCGGAGAAUGUUAUCACGGGAGACACACGGCGGGUGCUAACGUCCGUCGUGAAGAGGGAAACAACCCAGACCGCCAGCUAAGGUCCCAAAGUCAUGGUUAAGUGGGAAACGAUGUGGGAAGGCCCAGACAGCCAGGAUGUUGGCUUAGAAGCAGCCAUCAUUUAAAGAAAGCGUAAUAGCUCACUGGUCGAGUCGGCCUGCGCGGAAGAUGUAACGGGGCUAAACCAUGCACCGAAGCUGCGGCAGCGACGCUUAUGCGUUGUUGGGUAGGGGAGCGUUCUGUAAGCCUGUGAAGGUGUACUGUGAGGUAUGCUGGAGGUAUCAGAAGUGCGAAUGCUGACAUAAGUAACGAUAAAGCGGGUGAAAAGCCCGCUCGCCGGAAGACCAAGGGUUCCUGUCCAACGUUAAUCGGGGCAGGGUGAGUCGACCCCUAAGGCGAGGCCGAAAGGCGUAGUCGAUGGGAAACAGGUUAAUAUUCCUGUACUUGGUGUUACUGCGAAGGGGGGACGGAGAAGGCUAUGUUGGCCGGGCGACGGUUGUCCCGGUUUAAGCGUGUAGGCUGGUUUUCCAGGCAAAUCCGGAAAAUCAAGGCUGAGGCGUGAUGACGAGGCACUACGGUGCUGAAGCAACAAAUGCCCUGCUUCCAGGAAAAGCCUCUAAGCAUCAGGUAACAUCAAAUCGUACCCCAAACCGACACAGGUGGUCAGGUAGAGAAUACCAAGGCGCUUGAGAGAACUCGGGUGAAGGAACUAGGCAAAAUGGUGCCGUAACUUCGGGAGAAGGCACGCUGAUAUGUAGGUGAAGUCCCUCGCGGAUGGAGCUGAAAUCAGUCGAAGAUACCAGCUGGCUGCAACUGUUUAUUAAAAACACAGCACUGUGCAAACACGAAAGUGGACGUAUACGGUGUGACGCCUGCCCGGUGC